This 655-nucleotide ribosomal RNA is filed under the name uncultured bacterium. RNAcentral's name for it is "bacterial SSU rRNA". It matches the Rfam family "Bacterial small subunit ribosomal RNA", at positions 389 to 1035 of the family's 1533-position model. The record is from RNAcentral.
CAGCCAUUCCGCGUGCAGGACGAAGGCCUUCGGGUUGUAAACUGCUUUUGUACGGAACGAAAAAGCCUUGGUUAAUACCCAGGGUCCAUGACGGUACCGUAAGAAUAAGCACCGGCUAACUACGUGCCAGCAGCCGCGGUAAUACGUAGGGUGCAAGCGUUAAUCGGAAUUACUGGGCGUAAAGCGUGCGCAGGCGGUUAUAUAAGACAGAUGUGAAAUCCCCGAGCUUAACUUGGGAACUGCAUUUGUGACUGUAUAGCUAGAGUACGGCAGAGGGGGAUGGAAUUCCGCGUGUAGCAGUGAAAUGCGUAGAUAUGCGGAGGAACACCGAUGGCGAAGGCAAUCCCCUGGGCCUGUACUGACGCUCAUGCACGAAAGCGUGGGGAGCAAACAGGAUUAGAUACCCUGGUAGUCCACGCCCUAAACGAUGUCAACUGGUUGUUGGGUCUUCACUGACUCAGUAACGAAGCUAACGCGUGAAGUUGACCGCCUGGGGAGUACGGCCGCAAGGUUGAAACUCAAAGGAGUUGACGGGGACCCGCACAAGCGGUGGAUGAUGUGGUUUAAUUCGAUGCAACGCGAAAAACCUUACCCACCUUUGACAUGUACGGAAUUUGCCAGAGAUGGCUUAGUGCUCGAAAGAGAACCGUAACAC